UGGGGAAUAUUGCACAAUGGGCGAAAGCCUGAUGCAGCAACGCCGCGUGAGCGAUGAAGGUCUUCGGAUUGUAAAGCUCUGUCUUUUGGGACGAUAAUGACGGUACCAAAGGAGGAAGCCACGGCUAACUACGUGCCAGCAGCCGCGGUAAUACGUAGGUGGCGAGCGUUGUCCGGAUUUACUGGGCGUAAAGGGUGCGUAGGCGGAUGUUUAAGUGAGAUGUGAAAUACCCGGGCUUAACUUGGGUGCUGCAUUUCAAACUGGAUAUCUAGAGUGCAGGAGAGGAGAAUGGAAUUCCUAGUNUAGCGGUGAAAUGCGUAGAGAUUAGGAAGAACACCAGUGGCGAAGGCGAUUCUCUGGACUGUAACUGACGCUGAGGCACGAAAGCGUGGGUAGCAAACAGGAUUAGAUACCCUGGUAGUCCACGCCGUAAACGAUGAGUACUAGGUGUAGGAGGUAUCGACCCCUUCUGUGCCGCAGUAAACACAU
RNAcentral lists this ribosomal RNA (489 nucleotides) under uncultured bacterium. RNAcentral's name for it is "partial 16S ribosomal RNA". It matches the Rfam family "Bacterial small subunit ribosomal RNA", at positions 355 to 860 of the family's 1533-position model. The record is from RNAcentral.